This 73-nucleotide transfer RNA is filed under the name Chlamydiia bacterium. RNAcentral's name for it is "tRNA-Phe". It matches the Rfam family "tRNA". From Rfam's summary of the family: Transfer RNA (tRNA) molecules are approximately 80 nucleotides in length. Their secondary structure includes four short double-helical elements and three loops (D, anti-codon, and T loops). RNAcentral also lists the same sequence under 1 other name. Lineage: Bacteria; Pseudomonadati; Chlamydiota; Chlamydiia. The record is from RNAcentral.
GGCCGGAUAGCUCAGUCGGUAGAGCAGAGGACUGAAAAUCCUUGUGUCGCUGGUUCGAUUCCAGUUCUGGCCA